RNAcentral lists this ribosomal RNA (253 nucleotides) under uncultured bacterium. RNAcentral describes it as "partial 16S ribosomal RNA". It matches the Rfam family "Bacterial small subunit ribosomal RNA", at positions 524 to 776 of the family's 1533-position model. The record is from RNAcentral.
UACGGAGGGUGCAAGCGUUAUCCGGAUUCACUGGGUUUAAAGGGUGUGUAGGCGGGUAUUUAAGUCAGUGGUGAAAUCUCCGGGCUCAACCCGGAAACUGCCAUUGAUACUAUUUAUCUUGAAUUCUGUUGAGGUAGGCGGAAUACAUCAUGUAGCGGUGAAAUGCUUAGAUAUGAUGUAGAACACCGAUUGCGAAGGCAGCUUACUAAACAGAUAUUGACGCUGAGGCACGAAAGCGUGGGGAUCAAACAGG